UUCACGGUACUGUACUGCUCGGGCGGGUUCUACCUCUUGUGUGAGCCGGAUGCCCUUACUGGGUGUGUCGGGGAACCAGGACUUUUACCUUGACGAAAAUUAGACGUGUUCAAAGCAGGCCUUUGCCCGGAAUACAUUAGCAUGGAUAAUAAAAUAGGGACGUGGGCCUA
RNAcentral lists this ribosomal RNA (170 nucleotides) under uncultured fungus. RNAcentral's name for it is "partial 18S small subunit ribosomal RNA". Lineage: Eukaryota; Fungi. The record is from RNAcentral.